This is a long non-coding RNA of Corvus hawaiiensis (hawaiian crow), 1944 nucleotides long. RefSeq lists it as uncharacterized. NCBI's taxonomy places the organism in Eukaryota, Metazoa, Chordata, Aves, Passeriformes, Corvidae. The record is from RefSeq and is a predicted model, not a curated record. The transcript has 3 exons.
GUUACCAGACAUCCAUUCCCCUCUGCUGUGUGGCUGCAGCUGUGGUCACCCGUCAGCAUUGGUCUCUGCUUGACAGGAGCUAUUAUGAGUUUUAGAAAAUGCAGCUGGAUGACAUCAUCACAGUGCCACUGAGCACACCAGCAGCAACACCUGGGAUGAAGCAGUGUUGAGAAGGGCAUGUCCCCAUGCAGGUGAGCACCAGGUGAGUCUGGUGUGGGGCAGCAGGCUGCAGCUCCAGAGACAUGGCUCAGACACACUGCUGCCCCUGUGUCCCUUCAUCUUUCCCAGAUUGUUUAUCCCUGUGCCCAUUGACAGUCUGGAGGGACCAGAACAUUUCAGGAUCACUGCUGCUUCCUCACUCUGUCCCACCCAUUGCCCACUGUGUUGGGAUCCUGGCUGUGUUGGGAUCACCUUUGCUGGUGAUUCUUUAAGUGACCUUAAAACAGUCCUUCAUGACAUGUGUCGCAAUGUCUUGGAGGUCCUGGGUGGUAGUGGGAUGCACUGAGUGCUGUUGUGUGGCCAUUUUUGGGGAUGGAGCAGCAGUUCAGAGCCCAUGGGGACACAAAGGGGUCCCAAGCUGGGAUGGGUGUCCCUCAGGAAGGGUCUGUGAUGCUGGCACUGGAGCCAUCCCAGACCUGCUGGGCUCUGCAGGCGUGGAGCUCUUUGCCAGCACCAGGCCUGUGCUAUUAUGGGCAAAUAACCUGCAGAAUGCUUUUUUAAUCUUGAGAGAAAUAACUUGAUUAGUAAUUAUUGGUGCAGAACACUUGGGGAGUCUCUGCAGAGGGAGAGGACAGGCUGUUUCACUGGAGCUGCCUGUCAGUUUUGUCACCUAAUUAUAAGACUGUUCUGUGCCAAGACUCGGGACAGACAGGAAAAAACCCUCAGUGUAAUUGUAUUGGUCAUAUUUUAUAGCCACUAAUUACUUGCUUCGCAAUUAGCAUUUCUCUGGCUGGCUGAGGAGCUGUCACAGCCCUGGCUCAUGAUACAUAGCUCAGUGCUUCCCAUGGCACAGCUUCCCAGGGCUGGCAGGGAAGGGGGCUCAGGCCCUGUGUCUGCAGCCCAACAGCACAGGAGGGAAAGGGAGGCUGACUGUCACUGGGGUGCGGGUGAGGGAUGUGAUGGUGUCCAUAUCUGGGACAAGAUGCUGGGUCUGGGCUUGAUGGCUCCACCUGAGCUCAGUGUGAUCAUGAAUCAAAAUUCUGAUGUGAACUUUAGCUGCAUCCAUAAGCUCUUCAUUUAUCAUUAUUAAAGAUAUGUCAAUGUUCAAACUCUGGUUUACAGCUGUAAAUUUAUAUUGUAUGUUGUCUCUGAUACAGUAUUCUUGUCCAAAGCCCAUCAGGCAGUUUUCUACUUAUUAGGAAUUAAUGACUCAUAAAACAGAGCCAGAACAGGCUGUUGGUGUGAAUGAAGGGAAUGCUGUGGCUAUUGGGUUUCCCUCCUGAAGAAUUAUGAAGGGACCCCAAUUAGCAGGUAAUUGGGUCAAUCCACCCUCUGAGCAGGUCCUGGGCUGAGCUGUGAGUUGCAGAGGAUCCUGGCCCUCUGUGGGAUGUGGGGGCUCAGCCAUCCCAGCCCUGUCAGGCUGCACUGCCAGGUACUCUCCUCUUACAUCUUACAAUACAUAUGUUAACCCUCUGGUUCUCUCUGCACUGGCAAAUCUUCAAAAUCCUUCACCUCCAGGAAAGACCAUCUGCUGCUGCAGCACCAUAAAAACAGCUUUUGGCAAGCGAAAACUUCAGUUUAUCAUUUUAAUUCAGCCCAAUGCCAAAAGUUCUGUAAUUUAUUGUGCCUUUUGCAAGGUUUUUCUCUAAGUGUCUGUAUGGUUGGUGUUUGUUUGGGACGUUUUAGGGAUCUUAUGUUUGUGUGAGUGUCUCAGGGUUGUCAUGACAUGGCGAGAGAACUUGUCUGGUCUGAAACUGCCCUGGGCUGCUGUGCUGACACUCUUCC